AUAUAGGCCCCAAAAGUUGAAAUACUUACCAAAUUACACAAAGAGAACCGCUGGGAUGAAUUUAAAUAUUAAGGGCAAACGAUCAAUUCACUUUGACCCCAAGCUUCUCCAUUCCCUCUUAUUUUUAAUAGUAGAAAAGAAAAGAAUAUAUAUAGUAAUAGUAAAGUAAUAGUAUAGACGCAUGUUUUGCGCUUUCAGAAAUUGAAGGCACUGCCAUUGUGCUGUCAUUCUCAAAUGGUCCUUCCUUUUAAUAGCUUUUUGGACUCUACUAACGGCCGUCACUAAAAGUCCAUUUAAUUCGUGUCCUAAAAGCAUCGUUAAUCGGUGUACGGUUAGUCGCAUAGGGAAAAUUGUUCAUUUAAUUUGAUUCGCAGUCGAGCUAGAAAGGAAUUAAAAAACGCGUGGGGCCACCUGGGCCCAGAUCAUCGCUACAGCGAGGGUUGGACCGUUGCAGCGAGUCCGCCCCAGUGAUGAUCUACUCGCUACAACAACCAUCUCAAAACUUGCGAGCUCACCCCAGUGGAUCCCUGGCGGAGGAGCUUUGUUCCUAGAAGUACGCCCUUGCGGAUGUUUUCCCACAAUAGCGUGUCCGCCACAACGGACAUCGCAGAGCAAACCUGGUAUUUAAGUCCCAUUUCGGGAUAUUUGACCUCAUUUUUCUUAAACCCUUACAUCUCAGCCGCCAUUUGGGACAUUUUGGGAGAAAAUCUCAUGAAUGCUUGGAAAAGACCCUUUGUCGGGAAUCAUGGUUCGAGAACGAGAAGAUGAAGACAAAUGGAUGUUUGUGACACCUGUUUGGCCUCGAGGUAGGUUAUGGCUUACUUGAGUAGACUUCAAUUAGUAUCUCAUAUAUGCACAAUAGAAAGUAAUGAAGAAAGCAUGUCUAGGUCUUCGGACAAGAAGUUGGGUUGGUUAAUUCUAGGUUGGUACUGUUAUGUGUGUUGUUGCAAAAUUAUUCCUAUUGGUCACCUUGCUAGCUAUGAGUGUUGUCGGUAUGAAUGAGUUAAGUUCUUUCUGUGGGUUAUGUACGGUCUUGGAUUUUAUUUACCUUUUGGUUAGACUUCGGUUAGCGAAUCUUCUGUAGAAUUAGUGAUUAUUGGAGAAAGCAUGUAAACCUUUGGGUAUGGA
This is a long non-coding RNA of Lycium barbarum (goji berry), 1128 nucleotides long. RefSeq lists it as uncharacterized. NCBI's taxonomy places the organism in Eukaryota, Viridiplantae, Streptophyta, Magnoliopsida, Solanales, Solanaceae. The record is from RefSeq and is a predicted model, not a curated record. The transcript has 2 exons.